UACGGAGGGGGCUAGCGUUGUUCGGAAUUACUGGGCUUAAAGAGUUCGUAGGCGGCGCAGAAAGUAGGGUGUGAAAGCCCUCGGCUCAACCGAGGAAUUGCGCUCUAAACUACUGUGCUUGAGGAAUCUAGAGGUGAGCGGAACUGAUGGUGGAGCGGUGAAAUGCGUUGAUAUCAUCAGGAACACCGGAGGCGAAGGCGGCUCACUGGGGAUUUUCUGACGCUGAGGAACGAAAGCCAGGGGAGCGAACGGG
RNAcentral lists this ribosomal RNA (253 nucleotides) under uncultured bacterium. RNAcentral's name for it is "partial 16S ribosomal RNA". It matches the Rfam family "Bacterial small subunit ribosomal RNA", at positions 524 to 776 of the family's 1533-position model. The record is from RNAcentral.